Molecule: non-coding RNA, 85 nt
Organism: Phaeosphaeriaceae sp. SRC1lsM3a
Lineage: Eukaryota; Fungi; Ascomycota; Dothideomycetes; Pleosporales; Phaeosphaeriaceae
Source: the annotation of a GenBank genome assembly
GGUGCCAUAGUCUAGAGGUAGGACGCAACAUUGUGGUCAUUCUACAAUUGCUGUUGAAGCCGGAGUUCGAUUCUCCUUGGCGCCA